This 173-nucleotide non-coding RNA is filed under the name marine eukaryotic metagenome. RNAcentral's name for it is "6S / SsrS RNA". It matches the Rfam family "6S / SsrS RNA". From Rfam's summary of the family: E. coli 6S RNA was the first non coding RNA to be sequenced, but its function was unknown until recently. It consists of 184 nucleotides that fold into an extended hairpin structure with a large single-stranded internal bulge. The 6S RNA specifically associates with RNA polymerase holoenzyme containing the sigma70 specificity factor. The record is from RNAcentral.
UCUCUGUGGUAUUCGUGAGUUUGUCAUUAAAUCCCUUGAGCCUAUUUAAAUACCCCGGGGUCGCUUGUUAAAUGGCCGUGUGCACACCCGUCUAGGGGAGCCUUAAGCCUUUUACAGCGAACCCACUUGAACCUCUGGUUCAAGGUCAAUGACCUCCACGGUAUUACGGAGCG